UCCAGAAGGAAGCCUAGCCAAGGGAUGGACGGGAGGAAAUUCGGCGGAUGGGACCACCCCAGUGGAAGUGCUGCCACAGACAGGGAAGCCGGAAGCAGGCAUGAUCUCGAGGUCAACUGUGAGGUGGCUGCAGCCUAGGAGUCCUGUCUCCUUAAUGGACUGCCUUCGUCUCCCUUGUGAGAUGCUGUGUGUGCCUGCAAUUCUGGUGGCUAACACAGGAGGAUGUUUGGAUAUCAGCAAGAGGUACAUUUCAUUGUGUGGAACAGAUCCGUGUGAGCCAGCUGUCCCUUGCAUUGUGAAGAGCUACCCAUCUAUGUCAA
Molecule: long non-coding RNA, 320 nt
Organism: Mastomys coucha (southern multimammate mouse)
Lineage: Eukaryota; Metazoa; Chordata; Mammalia; Rodentia; Muridae
Exons: 3
Source: RefSeq, a predicted model, not a curated record